UUUUAAGGUUAUAAGAGUAAUUUGAGUACCUCUCUCUCUCUCUCUAUUAUAUUCCUGGCCCUCUUUCUCCUAGAAUGGCGUCCAAAAAAGAUAAACCAUCUAUAUGUAAGUUUGAGACAGAAGGUGUGGCGGUGGGCUUAGCAACUUAUAUUGCAAAUCAUCUAAGGUUAUAAGACCAGAUCUGAUCUUUAAGGUUAUAAGACCUCAUCUACCAGCAAAUCUUUGUGCUCACUCCAGUUUGCUGCUAGAGUGAAUUCGUGUGACGAUGUGAGAUUGGGAUUCCUCAACGACAAACUGUGCGAUCUUUAGAUUCUUCUCGAUUGAGUUAUGGAUGAAGUUGUAGAAGAUAUUGGGUCUCUGCAUCAUACUACAACUAUAAUCCGAUUUGAAGUAACUUUUAUUUGUGAAGAGGAGUGAAAAGGUUUCUAACAUGUUUAGUUUUAUCAUGUAUUCAGUUCUGUAUCAUUGCCUGUAUUUUUUAAGUUCAAUUCACAUGCAUUCUUACAGGUAUAAGAAUAGCCCAGAUCAGAUCUGAUCUUUAAGGUUCUAAUUUCGGUUAUUAACCGAAUAACCGAAUAGUAAAUUCGGAUAUUCGGUUGUUCGGUUAUUCGGUUAUUGUACGAUUCGGUUAGUUGUUCGGAUAUCAAAAUUACAUUAAUUUCGGUUUUUGAUUAUAACCGAAUAGUCUAUUCGGUUCGGUUAUAACCGAAUGCUCAGCCCUACAUGGAAGUAUAAAAACCUCCCGUCUUCUGAUCUACCCCUUUAAUCGUGCAUAAAACUAAGGGUAUAAACGAAUCGAGUCGAUCCGAGUAUUGAGUUGCUCAGUUUUGGUUUAUAAAAUUUAUCGAGUAUAAAAUAAGGUUUAAUUGAGGCUCAUUUAGCUACCGAGUCGAGCAAGAUUUUAAAUUGAGCACGAUUUUGAAUCGAGCCCGAACAGUUUGAUCUUUUCGAAUAAAUAUGAUCCGAGUAUCAAUAGAAAAUUAUAAUUUAAGAAUGUUCGAGUAAUUUAUCGAAUUUUAAAAUUUAUUUAUAUUUGACUUAUUUAUAUUUCGAAUGAAGUUCGAAUAGAAUCUUUAAUGAGAAGAGUACGAAUCGAGUCUGAAUUGUUUGUCGACAUAAAAGACCACAAAAUGACGCCGAACUUGGACCCCUCAAGUCGCGUAUCGUCGGAAGUCGGCGCAGGCAGGAAGACAUUGUCAACUGACUCAUCUCCGUGGACCCUCCGGAGCCGAACGUUUAUCAAAGCCCUAAAAUAGCCCGAGCAAGAUGGCACGAAAACCAAAAAUUUCAAAGGUCAUUGGCACUCGCACGCAACCGAGAUCUAUGACCAACCCGCAGCGGAGAUUAUUGGCACGGGCGUGUCAGUUAGAUGGAAAGAACCCUAAUGAUUUGCAGCAGGAGAUUGCAUAUCCCGAUAAUUAAGGUUGUAUCCCUUCUUUUAACCAUUACACGAUUCCACCGUUAUAUUUAUAUUGUUGUGGUCCAUCUGGAGUUACAAAAAUAGGAGAUUGUUGUGGUCCUUACAAAAAUAGGAUUGUAUAUUUGGUUAUAUGAAUUGAUGCUUUAGUUGUUAGAUAAUACGUAGACUGAACAUCAAUUUUGAUUUGUAUAUAUCUCUGCAUUUUCAUGGUUAAUUUUCAUUUUUGCAUUUGUAUCUUGAUGUUGAGUUUGUGAAUUUACUGAAUAACUCAGAUACGUAGUUCAUAGGGAGGUUUAUUAGGGUUGGAACGAGUUAUGAGCUAAAAGUUUUGAAUAAAUGGAAUCUAAUUGAGGUUAAAUUUGGU
This 1784-nucleotide long non-coding RNA is filed under the name Panax ginseng (ginseng). RNAcentral describes it as "long non-coding RNA (PGIN_LNC005862)". Lineage: Eukaryota; Viridiplantae; Streptophyta; Magnoliopsida; Apiales; Araliaceae. The record is from RNAcentral.